Molecule: ribosomal RNA, 162 nt
Filed under: Creolimax fragrantissima
Lineage: Eukaryota; Ichthyosporea; Ichthyophonida
Description: partial 28S ribosomal RNA
Rfam family: Eukaryotic large subunit ribosomal RNA
Source: RNAcentral
GAUCUCAGCUCAAGCAAGACUACCCGCUGAAUUUAAGCAUAUUAAUAAGCGGAGGAAAAGAAAAUAACAAUGAUUCCCUCAGUAACGGCGAGUGAAGCGGGAAGAGCUCAAAUUUUAAAGCUACAUGGUUUCCAUGUCGCGUUGUAAAUUCAAGAAACGUUU